This 182-nucleotide ribosomal RNA is filed under the name uncultured Staphylococcus sp. RNAcentral's name for it is "partial 16S ribosomal RNA". It matches the Rfam family "Bacterial small subunit ribosomal RNA", at positions 158 to 334 of the family's 1533-position model. The record is from RNAcentral. Lineage: Bacteria; Bacillati; Bacillota; Bacilli; Caryophanales; Staphylococcaceae.
CGGGGCUAACACCGGAUAAUAUAUUGAACCGCAUGGUUCAAUAGUGAAAGACGGUUUUGCUGUCACUUAUAGAUGGAUCCGCGCCGCAUUAGCUAGUUGGUAAGGUAACGGCUUACCAAGGCAACGAUGCGUAGCCGACCUGAGAGGGUGAUCGGCCACACUGGAACUGAGACACGGUCCAG